RNAcentral lists this unclassified non-coding RNA (107 nucleotides) under Rhodopseudomonas palustris HaA2. RNAcentral's name for it is "RNA component of signal recognition particle". The record is from RNAcentral. Lineage: Bacteria; Pseudomonadati; Pseudomonadota; Alphaproteobacteria; Hyphomicrobiales; Nitrobacteraceae.
GCCGGCGAGGAAGGCUGCGCCGCAGAUCGCGACGAUGCGGCAGAGCUGGAAGCCAGCAGCGGUCAUGGGCGAUUCGCGUCGCGCUGGCGCGGGGUGGCCGGCGAUGG